GUUCUUCUCCCAGUGUGUGCUGCACCACCAUGAUCAUUUUCACUGUACUGCUGCUCUCUGCUCUUACAGGUAACAGAGCUGAAGGCGUCAUCACUCCUAGCAGAGAUGCUGUUUUUGCUGUUGAAGGUCAGAAUGUUACCCUCUCCUGUAACUACACUGUAAGUGCUGAUAGUCUUCACUGGUAUCGACAGUAUUCAGGCUCUCCUCCCCAGUUCCUCAUACUGGACUAUGCAGGGAGCAUUACUGAAGCUCAACCUCCAGUUCCUGGAAUAUUCAUCAACCAUCAAAAAGGAAUAAAAAAAGUGGAUCUGGAGAUCUCCUCUACUGCAGUAUCAGACUCUGCUCUCUACUACUGUGCUCUGAGGCCCACAGUGACAGGAAACCCACCAAACACUGUACUAAAACCUUUCUUGUGAAAUAUGUAGAAACACUGAUAUUUCAGGAGGGGGCGCUGUAAUUCUACAGCUGAAAUUCUAGAGGUAAUAUUCUGUAAUGAGAUGAAGCGCCAAAAAACACUUAAAACACCUUCUGCGGUGUGGGCAGUGUGCCAAGUCCUGCUGGAAAAUGAAAUAUGCAUCUCCAUAAAAGUUGUCAGUAGCAGAGGGAAGCAUAAAGUGCUGUAAGAUUUUGUGGGAAAACAAAACUGCACUGACUU
Astyanax mexicanus (Mexican tetra) is the source of this 655-nucleotide non-coding RNA. NCBI's taxonomy places the organism in Eukaryota, Metazoa, Chordata, Actinopteri, Characiformes, Acestrorhamphidae. The record is from the annotation of a RefSeq genome assembly.